AACGUCGUGAGACAGUUCGGUCUCUAUCUAUCGUGGGCGUUGGAGAUUUGAGUGGCCCUGACACUAGUACGAGAGGACCGUGUCGGACCGACCUCUGGUCUGCCGGUUGUGCCGCCAGGUGCACCGCCGGGUAGCCAUGUCGGGAUCGGAUAAGCGCUGAAAGCAUCUAAGUGCGAAGCCGACCGCAAGAUUAGAUCUCCUCAUAAGGGUCGUCCGAGACGAGGACGUCGAUAGGACGCAGGUGUAAAGACGGCGACGUCAAAGCCGAGCGUUACUAAUUGCCCGAAACUUUCAUCGCA
RNAcentral lists this ribosomal RNA (299 nucleotides) under Bacteroidaceae bacterium. RNAcentral describes it as "partial 23S ribosomal RNA". It matches the Rfam family "Bacterial large subunit ribosomal RNA", at positions 2615 to 2925 of the family's 2925-position model. Lineage: Bacteria; Pseudomonadati; Bacteroidota; Bacteroidia; Bacteroidales; Bacteroidaceae. The record is from RNAcentral.